GUUGGAAAUCGUGGGUUAUUUAUUAAAGUGUAAUAAGUUUUAAGUUGUUGCUAUAAUAAAGGUAUGUUAUGAUAUUUGGUUUUAUAUUAUAGGUUGGACUAAAGAAUGAAAGGGUCCAAACAAUUUUCAUAGGUAGAUUUUUUACGACUCCUAGUAUUGAUAAGAAAAAAUUAAACAACAAAAGUCCUCCCACAUCACAUAUUAGUUCGUUUUCCUAAAAAAAAAUAUUCAGCUUUCAUGAAGAAAAUUUCAAUUUCUAUUACAACUGAAGUAUGACAAAUCUAAAUAAAUAACGGAUGUAAAUUUAAACUUAGGAUCAAAAUAUUUAAUCUCAAAAUUCGUUAAAUAGUGUUAUAUAUAAUGUAUAUAAGCCAACAAACUUUAAGAUGGACAUAUAAGUAUCACCCAUACGAUAUAAAGACAAAUGUCAAACCUUAAUUCUUAUAUA
Molecule: long non-coding RNA, 448 nt
Filed under: Brassica napus (rape)
Lineage: Eukaryota; Viridiplantae; Streptophyta; Magnoliopsida; Brassicales; Brassicaceae
Description: long non-coding RNA (BNAP_LNC018789)
Source: RNAcentral